AGAGUUUGAUUAUGGCUCAGGAUGAACGCUAGCGACAGGCUUAACACAUGCAAGUCGAGGGGCAGCGGGGCGGCAGGCUUGCCUGCCGUUGCCGGCGACCGGCGCACGGGUGAGUAACACGUAUGCAACCUGCCCGUGGCAGGGGGAUAAGCGGGGGAAACCCCGUCUAAUACCGCGUAACGCGGCCUAGGGACAUCCCAAGGCCGCCAAAGGGAGCAAUCCCGGCCACGGAUGGGCAUGCGGCGCAUUAGCUAGUCGGCGGGGUAACGGCCCACCGAGGCGACGAUGCGUAGGGGUUCUGAGAGGAAGGCCCCCCACACUGGUACUGAGACACGGACCAGACUCCUACGGGAGGCAGCAGUGAGGAAUAUUGGUCAAUGGGCGCGAGCCUGAACCAGCCAAGUCGCGUGAGGGAGGACGGCCCUACGGGUUGUAAACCUCUUUUGCCGGGGAGCAACGGG
This 461-nucleotide ribosomal RNA is filed under the name uncultured bacterium. Its description in RNAcentral is "bacterial SSU rRNA". It matches the Rfam family "Bacterial small subunit ribosomal RNA", at positions 8 to 453 of the family's 1533-position model. The record is from RNAcentral.